AUACAAAACUCCAAAAAUCCCACCCCUUUCAUACCCAUAAACACCAAACCCUAACCUUAUAAGAAUGGGAUAAAAUACCUGUACUAAAUUUCCAAUUUGUUCACGAUUUCAAAUUUUUGUUUUCAAAUCAUACUAGUCUGUUCUCUUUAAGGCCUCGUUGAACAGCCGUUUCAUUGAAAGGUUGGUACUUGAAGACAACGGUAUGUGCAAUUUUUCUUCUAAAUUAGAGGUUUGUGCGCCAACUCAAUCCGCUGCCUUAUUCAUUAUUGGACUUUUUGAAUCUGGUUGAUGAGGAGCGUUCGGAUGGACUCAAUUGGUCCCCCAACUAAAAGGUUGGUGGAACUCAACCGUCAUAGCAUACAGGAUGGUCAGAAUGGUGUAAGGGAUGGGAUUACUGGUGAUGGACAGGGGCUUUCAGAAGAAGAUGAGUCAAGGAUUAAUGAGGAUGUCGAAGGUGGGAAUGAAACACAGAGGGAUUUGUUACAAGUGCAGGCUGUUUUACAGACACAGCAGCAACAGCCCCCAGGGCCUUUGGUUAGGUGGGAGCGUUUUCUUCCUCUUAGAUCCCUCAAGGUUCUGCUGGUAGAAAAUGAUGAUUCAACUCGUCAUGUUGUCAGUGCAUUGCUGCGAAACUGCAGUUAUGAAGUUAUAGCUGUGGGAUAUGCCCUUGAAGCAUGGAGGAUUUUAGAAGAUCUAACUAACCAUGUUGAUCUUGUUCUGACGGAGGUGGCCAUGCCAUUUUUGUCUGGUGUUGGUCUUUUGUCAAAGAUUAUGAACCACAAAACUCUCAAGAAUGUCCCAGUGAUUAGUAAGCAUCUUUCCUACGUAAUUUUUUUGCUUAUUCAUAUUUGGAGUUUUGCUUAAAAUCUUGAAGAUAUGAUACUUUUAACUGCUCCACCUGAUGAGUUUUGUGUGCAGUGAUGUCUGCUAAUGACUCUAUGGGUAUAGUCUUUAAGUGUUUGUCAA
This 966-nucleotide unclassified non-coding RNA is filed under the name Hevea brasiliensis (rubber tree). The record is from RNAcentral. Lineage: Eukaryota; Viridiplantae; Streptophyta; Magnoliopsida; Malpighiales; Euphorbiaceae.